This 615-nucleotide ribosomal RNA is filed under the name Bacillus licheniformis. RNAcentral's name for it is "bacterial SSU rRNA". It matches the Rfam family "Bacterial small subunit ribosomal RNA", at positions 164 to 758 of the family's 1533-position model. The record is from RNAcentral. Lineage: Bacteria; Bacillati; Bacillota; Bacilli; Caryophanales; Bacillaceae.
UAAUACCGGAUGCUUGAUUGAACCCGCAUGGUUUCAAUCAUAAAAAGGUGGCUUUYAGCUACCCACUUACAGAUGGACCCGCGGCGCAUUAGCUAGUUGGUGAGGUAACGGCUCACCAAGGCGACGAUGCGUAGCCGACCUGAGAGGGUGAUCGGCCACACUGGGACUGAGAACACGGCCCAGACUCCUACGGGAGGCAGCAGUAGGGAAUCUUCCGCAAUGGACGAAAGUCUGACGGAGCAACGCCGCGUGAGUGAUGAAGGUUUUCGGAUCGUAAAACUCUGUUGUUAGGGAAGAACAAGUACCGUUCGAAUAGGGCGGYACCUUGACGGUACCUAACCAGAAAGCCACGGCUAACUACGUGCCAGCAGCCGCGGUAAUACGUAGGUGGCAAGCGUUGUCCGGAAUUAUUGGGCGUAAAGCGCGCGCAGGCGGUUUCUUAAGUCUGAUGUGAAAGCCCCCGGCUCAACCGGGGAGGGUCAUUGGAAACUGGGGAACUUGAGUGCAGAAGAGGAGAGUGGAAUUCCACGUGUAGCGGUGAAAUGCGUAGAGAUGUGGAGGAACACCAGUGGCGAAGGCGACUCUCUGGUCUGUAACUGACGCUGAGGCGCGAAA